This 444-nucleotide ribosomal RNA is filed under the name Drosophila ananassae. RNAcentral's name for it is "partial 16S ribosomal RNA". Lineage: Eukaryota; Metazoa; Arthropoda; Insecta; Diptera; Drosophilidae. The record is from RNAcentral.
UUAAAGUCUGACCUGCCCACUGAAUAUUUUUAAAUGGCCGCAGUAUUCUGACUGUGCAAAGGUAGCAUAAUCAUUAGUCUUUUAAUUGAAGGCUGGAAUGAAUGGUUGGACGAAAUAUUAACUGUUUCAUUUAAAUUUUUUAUAGAAUUUUAUUUUUUAGUCAAAAAGCUAAAAUAAAUUUAAAAGACGAGAAGACCCUAUAAAUCUUUAUAUUUUAUUUAUUUUAAUUAUAAAGAUUAUUUUAAUUUUAAUAAAUUAAAAUAUUUUAUUGGGGUGAUAUUAAAAUUUAAAAAACUUUUAAUUUAUAAAAACAUUAAUUUAUGAAUUGUUGAUCCAUUAAUAAUGAUUAAAAAAUUAAGUUACUUUAGGGAUAACAGCGUAAUUUUUUUGGAGAGUUCAUAUCGAUAAAAAAGAUUGCGACCUCGAUGUUGGAUUAAGAUAUAA